Molecule: ribosomal RNA, 896 nt
Filed under: marine metagenome
Description: bacterial SSU rRNA
Rfam family: Bacterial small subunit ribosomal RNA
Source: RNAcentral
AGAGUUUGAUCAUGGCUCAGAUUGAACGCUGGCGGUAAGCCUUAAACAUGCAAGUCGUGCGGUAACAGACAUAAAGAUUUAGCUUGCUAAAUCCGGUGCUGACGAGCGGCGAACGGGUGAGUAACACGUAGGAAUCUACCCAGUAGCGGGGGAUAGCCCAGGGAAACUUGGAUUAAUACCGCAUACACCCUAAGGGGAAAAGAAGGCCUCUCUUUGAAGCUUUCACUAUUGGAUGAGCCUGCGUAAGAUUAGCUUGUUGGUGGGGUAAAGGCCUACCAAGGCAACGAUCUUUAGCUGGUCUGAGAGGACGAUCAGCCACAUUGGGACUGAGACACGGCCCAGACUUCUACGGAAGGCAGCAGUUAGGAAUAUUGGACAAUGGGGGCAACCCUGAUCCAGCUAUACCGCGUGUGUGAAGAAGGCCCUAGGGUUGUAAAGCACUUUAAGCAGGGAAGAAGCAUGUUAAGUUAAUACCUUAACAUGUUGACGUUACCUGAAGAAUAAGGACCGGCUAACUCCGUGCCAGCAGCCGCGGUAAUACGGAGGGUCCAAGCGUUAAUCGGAAUUACUGGGCGUAAAGCGCGCGUAGGCGGUUUAAUAAGUUGUAUGUGAAAGCCCUGGGCUCAACCUAGGAACUGCAUACAAAACUAUUAAGCUUGAGGACGAGAGAGGAGAGUAGAAUUUCAGGUGUAGCGGUGAAAUGCGUAGAUAUCUGAAGGAAUACCAAUGGCGAAGGCAGCUCUCUGGCUCGUUUCUGACGCUAAGGUGCGAAAGCGUGGGUAGCAAACAGGAUUAGAUACCCUGGUAGUCCACGCCGUAAACGAUGAUAACUAGCCGUUGGGCAGAUUUAACUGUUCAGUGGCACAGCUAACGCAUUAAGUUAUCCGCCUGGGGAG